Molecule: ribosomal RNA, 494 nt
Filed under: uncultured bacterium
Lineage: Bacteria
Description: partial 16S ribosomal RNA
Rfam family: Bacterial small subunit ribosomal RNA
Source: RNAcentral
AUUGAACGCUGGCGGCAUGCUUUACACAUGCAAGUCGAACGGCAGCGGGGAGGAGCUUGCUUCUCUGCCGGCGAGUGGCGAACGGGUGAGUAAUACAUCGGAACGUGUCGAGAAGAGGGGGAUAACCACCCGAAAGGGUGGCUAAUACCGCAUAAAUUCUGAGGAAGAAAGCUGGGGACCUAGGAAUAGGCCUAGCGCUUUUUGAGCGGCCGAUGUCGGAUUAGCUAGUUGGUGAGGUAAAGGCUCACCAAGGCGAAGAUCUGUAGCGGGUCUGAGAGGAUGAUCCGCCACACUGGGACUGAGACACGGCCCAGACUCCUACGGGAGGCAGCAGUGGGGAAUUUUGGACAAUGGGGGCAACCCUGAUCCAGCCAUGCCGCGUGUAUGAAGAAGGCCUUAGGUUUGUAAAGUACUUUUGUUAGGGAAGAAAAGUCAGCUGUGAAUAAUGGCUGAUACUGACGGUACCUAAAGAAUAAGCACCGGCUAACUACGUG